RNAcentral lists this ribosomal RNA (912 nucleotides) under uncultured Planctomycetota bacterium. RNAcentral describes it as "bacterial SSU rRNA". It matches the Rfam family "Bacterial small subunit ribosomal RNA", at positions 8 to 916 of the family's 1533-position model. Lineage: Bacteria; Pseudomonadati; Planctomycetota. The record is from RNAcentral.
AGAGUUUGAUCCUGGCUCAGAUUGAACGCUGGCGGCAUGCCUUACACAUGCAAGUCGAACGGCAGCGGACCUUCGGGUGCCGGCGAGUGGCGAACGGGUGAGUAAAGUAUCGGAACGUACCUUUCAGUGGGGGAUAACGUAGCGAAAGUUACGCUAAUACCGCAUAUUCUCUGAGGAGGAAAGCAGGGGACCUUCGGGCCUUGCGCUGAUGGAGCGGCCGAUAUCAGAUUAGCUAGUUGGUGGGGUAAAGGCCUACCAAGGCGACGAUCUGUAGCGGGUCUGAGAGGAUGAUCCGCCACACUGGGACUGAGACACGGCCCAGACUCCUACGGGAGGCAGCAGUGGGGAAUUUUGGACAAUGGGCGAAAGCCUGAUCCAGCCAUGCCGCGUGAGUGAAGAAGGCCUUCGGGUUGUAAAGCUCUUUCGGCCGGGAAGAAAUCGUGUGGGCUAAUACCCUGCAUGGAUGACGGUACCGGAAUAAGAAGCACCGGCUAACUACGUGCCAGCAGCCGCGGUAAUACGUAGGGUGCGAGCGUUAAUCGGAAUUACUGGGCGUAAAGCGUGCGCAGGCGGUUUGGUAAGACAGGCGUGAAAUCCCCGGGCUCAACCUGGGAACUGCGCUUGUGACUGCCUCACUAGAGUACGGCAGAGGGGGGUGGAAUUCCACGUGUAGCAGUGAAAUGCGUAGAGAUGUGGAGGAACACCGAUGGCGAAGGCAGCCCCCUGGGCCGAUACUGACGCUCAUGCACGAAAGCGUGGGUAGCAAACAGGAUUAGAUACCCUGGUAGUCCACGCCCUAAACGAUGUCAACUAGUUGUUGGGGGGGUAAAACCCUUUAGUAACGUAGCUAACGCGUGAAGUUGACCGCCUGGGGAGUACGGCCGCAAGGUUAAAACUCAAAGGAAUUGACGG